AUACGUAGGGGGCAAGCGUUAUCCGGAAUUAUUGGGCGUAAAGCGUGCGUAGGUGGUUACCUAAGCGCAAGGUUUAAUCUUGAGGCUCAACCUCAUUCUGCCUUGCGAACUGGGCUACUUGAGUGCUGGAGGGGAAAGCGGAAUUCCUAGUGGAGCGGUGAAAUGCGUAGAUAUUAGGAAGAACACCGGUGGCGAAGGCGGCUUUCUGGACAGUAACUGACACUGAGGCACGAAAGCGUGGGGAGCAAACAGGAUUAGAUACCCUGGUAGUCCACGCCGUAAACGAUGAGCACUAGUUGUUGGGUCCAAAUGGAUUCAGUGACGCAGUUAACGCAAUAAGUGCUCCGCCUGGGGAGUACGGUGGCAACACUAAAACUCAAAUGAAUUGACGGGG
RNAcentral lists this ribosomal RNA (394 nucleotides) under uncultured bacterium. Its description in RNAcentral is "partial 16S ribosomal RNA". It matches the Rfam family "Bacterial small subunit ribosomal RNA", at positions 523 to 918 of the family's 1533-position model. The record is from RNAcentral.